This 262-nucleotide ribosomal RNA is filed under the name uncultured archaeon. RNAcentral describes it as "partial 16S ribosomal RNA". It matches the Rfam family "Archaeal small subunit ribosomal RNA", at positions 748 to 1008 of the family's 1478-position model. The record is from RNAcentral.
CAGCCGUAAACUAUGCGCGUUAGGUGUGCUGGUGACCACGUGUCACCGGGGUGCCGAAGGGAAACCGUGAAACGUGCCGCCUGGGAAGUACGGUCGCAAGGCUGAAACUUAAAGGAAUUGGCGGGGGGAGCACCACAACGGGUGGAGCCUGCGGUUUAAUUGGACUCAACGCCGGAAAUCUCACCGGAUAGGACAGACAAAUGAUAGUCGGGCUGAAGACUCUACUUGAUGAUCUGAGAGGUGGUGCAUGGCGUCAGUGACU